AUGCCUUCAGGGCGCCUCACCCUUUCCUACAACCAGGCACACCCAGCGAAACCUGGGGAGUUAGUCCUGAACCAUAUCAUGGAGGGCAAGCGGCUGGACGACCUGUGCAGCAGCAUCACUCAUGGCCGGUUCCGGGAGCAGAAGUUCCGGCUAAAGCGCUGUGGCCUGGAGCGCCGGAUAUACCUGGUGGAGGAGCAAGGCUCAGUCCACAACCUCAGCCUUCCUGAGAGCAAGCUGCUGCAAGCUGUCGCCAACACUCAGGGCAUCGAUGGCUUCUUUGUGAAGCGCACAGCAGACAGUAGGGAGUCAGCUGCCUACUUGGCCCUCUUGACACGGGGCCUGCAGAGACUCUGCCAGGGACACACUGUACGCAGCCGCCCCGGGGAAUCCCAGGGGAUCCUGAAUCAGGGGCUGGGCCCUCCCCAAACCCUCUCUGCUCACUCCUCACCUUCAGUGACUUCAACGCAGGAGCCAUCAAGAACAAGGCCCAGUCAGUGCGAGAGGUGUUUGCCCGGCAGCUGAUGCAGGUGCGCGGAAUAAGUGGAGAGAAGGCAGCAGCCCUGGUGGAUCGAUACAGCACGCCUGCCAGCUUUCUGGCCGCCUAUGUUGCCUGUGCCAGCUCCAAGGAGCAGGAGACACUGCUGAGCACCAUCAAGUGUGGGCGGCUGCAGAGAAAUCUGGGACCCGCUCUGAGCAGGACCUUGGCCCAGCCCUACUGCAGCUGCAGCCCCCUGACCUGAGCUUAUGCCAUAAGACAGACCCCCAACCGCUCUGUCCCCCGACCCCUCAGGCUAGCCAACCUUUAACCAGGAUCUUUUGGGCUAUAAUAAAAAUCUAGCUGUUUGCAACCUUACAUGUUGUGGAGGCUAUGCCAGGCCCCAGGAGCCUUAUAAAAUACACAGGAGCUAGGGAAACCAUCUGGUCCAGUGGUUUUUAAACCAAGCUCCUGAGGACCUGGGGUUCCCUGGACAGGGAGGUGGAAUCAGUGGGUCAUCACAACUUUGAAUCUAUUUUAUGUAAUCAGAUAGUCCCUGAUGAAAUAAAAC
Non-coding RNA from Microcebus murinus (gray mouse lemur), 1046 nucleotides. Lineage: Eukaryota; Metazoa; Chordata; Mammalia; Primates; Cheirogaleidae. The record is from RefSeq and is a predicted model, not a curated record.